RNAcentral lists this long non-coding RNA (328 nucleotides) under Mytilus galloprovincialis (Mediterranean mussel). The record is from RNAcentral. Lineage: Eukaryota; Metazoa; Mollusca; Bivalvia; Mytilida; Mytilidae.
AAAAUACAAAAUAGGUAUUUGGUUGAGAAAAUAGUGCCUAUAGUAUAUUAUAUAAUGCGUUGGUCACCCGUUUAAAUUUAAGAAGAGAGGGAAGGGAGGAAGCAAUUCAUGUUGCUUAAAUAAUAUAGUUUUUGUGUUUUGUGCUUUUAUCUUUUAUCUCUUUUUAAAUGUUGUUGAUUUUUUGUGUGUUUUUUUAGGGGGGGGGGGGGGGAGGGGGUGUGAUGAUAAGUGAAAGGAUGUUAAUGAAAAAGACUUCUAUUGUUUACAACGGAGUACUUAAAUCAAGAAAGAGAAUGAUUGCGUGAAAAAAAUAAUUAUAUUCAUCUGA